Molecule: ribosomal RNA, 666 nt
Filed under: Podila minutissima
Lineage: Eukaryota; Fungi; Mortierellomycota; Mortierellomycetes; Mortierellales; Mortierellaceae
Description: eukaryotic LSU rRNA
Rfam family: Eukaryotic large subunit ribosomal RNA
Source: RNAcentral
AGUAACGCGGGAUGAGCUCAAAUUUGAAAUCUGGCUGGUUUACUAGUCCGAGUUGUAAUUUAAAGAAGCGUUUUCGGUGGCAGCCUGGGUAUAAAUCCUUUGGAAUAGGGUAUCAUAGAGGGUGAGAAUCCCGUCUUUGACCUAGUGCAUGCUACUAUGUGAUACGUUUUCAAAGAGUCGAGUUGUUUGGGAAUGCAGCUCAAAAUGGGUGGUAAAUUUCAUCUAAAGCUAAAUAUUGGCGAGAGACCGAUAGCGAACAAGUACCGUGAGGGAAAGAUGAAAAGAACUUUGAAAAGAGAGUUAAACAGUGCGUGAAAUUGUUGAAAGGGAAACGUUUGACACCAGUCAUGUGGGUGGAAAAUCAGUCUUUUGCAUUGGGGAGUUGUAAGGGUUCGGACCGCAAGGCCGGCUUUUGCUUCAUCUUUGGUGUAAGUGAUGCACUUUUUCAUCUACAGGUCAACAUCAGUUUCUUUUGCUGGACAAAACUCCGAGAGAAGGUAGCAGCUUAGGCUGUGUUAUAGCUCUGGAGCGAUACAGUGAAGGGGACUGAGGUUUUCGCAGCGUGUGCUCUCGGGCAAGGCUGGAUGGGUGCUAUGGGAUCGUUCGGGGUACAAUGCCUGGCAUUUUGCUUCGUGUCUUUUCUAUACUCGCUCAACUCAGCUCUUC